GGUUGCUUAACGACCAGUUACAAAUAUUACACUCUACCCUCCAUGUUUUUGUCCAUCUGAUGAGUUAAGCCUAUUUAAACUGAUUCUUAUAGUUCGUUUUUAUGUUGUACAUGUACUUUUAUACCACUGACCGAGACUAGGGGAGGAUAGGGAGCCCGCUAACAAUUUUAACCCCGCCACAUUAUUUAUGUAUGUGCCUGUCCCAAGUCAUGAGCCUGCAAUUCAGUAGUUGUCGUUUGUUUAUGUGUUACAUAUUUUUUUUCGUUCAUUUUUUUUGUUGUUAUAUAAAUAAGGCGGUUAGUUUUCUUGUUUGAAUUGUUUUACAUUAUCAUAUCGGGGCCUUUUAUAGCUGACCAUGCGGAUUUGGCAUUGCUCAUUGUUGAAGGCCGUACGGUGACCUAUAUUUGUUAAUGUCUCUGUCAUUUUGGUCUCUUGUGGACUGUUGUCUAAUUGGAAAUCAUACCACAUCUUCUUUUUUUAUAUUCCUGUGCUUUUAAAAUGCCCAUUAUAGACAUAUCAUGAUACAUUAAGCUUAACAUUUUAAUUUAUAAAUAUCAAAUAGCGAACAAUUUAUAUAUUUAUUCAAUAACGAC
This 593-nucleotide long non-coding RNA is filed under the name Mytilus galloprovincialis (Mediterranean mussel). The record is from RNAcentral. Lineage: Eukaryota; Metazoa; Mollusca; Bivalvia; Mytilida; Mytilidae.